AGAUUGAACGCUGGCGGCAUGCCUUACACAUGCAAGUCGAACGGCAGCACGGGAGCAAUCCUGGUGGCGAGUGGCGAACGGGUGAGUAAUACAUCGGAACGUGCCCAGUAAUGGGGGGAUAGCCCGGCGAAAGCCGGAUUAAUACCGCAUACGACCUAUGGGUGAAAGCGGGGGAUCGCAAGACCUCGCGUUGUUGGAGCGGCCGAUGUCAGAUUAGCUUGUUGGUGGGUAAAGCCCACCAAGGCGACGAUCUGUAGCUGGUCUGAGAGGACGACCAGCCACACUGGGACUGAGACACGGCCCAGACUCCUACGGGAGGCAGCAGUGGGGAAUUUUGGACAAUGGGCGCAAGCCUGAUCCAGCCAUGCCGCGUGUGGGAAGAAGGCCUUCGGUUGUAAACCUACGUUUUGUCAGGUAAGAACGGCCUAAGAUUAAUACUACUAGCUAAUG
This 450-nucleotide ribosomal RNA is filed under the name uncultured soil bacterium. RNAcentral describes it as "bacterial SSU rRNA". It matches the Rfam family "Bacterial small subunit ribosomal RNA", at positions 26 to 487 of the family's 1533-position model. The record is from RNAcentral.